This is a non-coding RNA of Podarcis lilfordi (Lilford's wall lizard), 69 nucleotides long. NCBI's taxonomy places the organism in Eukaryota, Metazoa, Chordata, Lepidosauria, Squamata, Lacertidae. The record is from the annotation of a GenBank genome assembly.
GCCGUAGCUGAGCGGCAGAGCAUCUGCUUUGCAUGCAGAAGGUCGCAGGUUCAAACCCAAGCAUCUCCA